RNAcentral lists this long non-coding RNA (1055 nucleotides) under Capra hircus (goat). RNAcentral's name for it is "lncRNA (ENSCHIG00010009623.1)". Lineage: Eukaryota; Metazoa; Chordata; Mammalia; Artiodactyla; Bovidae. The record is from RNAcentral.
CAUAAUAAUCCUCUAAGGUAGGUGUUAUUGUUGAUCUCAUUUUUCAGUUGACAAAAAAUGGCCCAGAGAGGUUAAGUGAUUACAUUGUCUAUUGUGAGAUAUUUCCUAAUCUUUAUAGUGAUAACUCAGUGAUGACAAAAUUUUCACAGUUCUUGGAUAUUUAAUUAUAGCCAUUAUUACAGUUUGGGGAGCACUCCUUGCUUCUAGGCCAAAUAUGACUCAAACCUUUUGGUACAGGGAGGGUCCUUACAUAUUCAGAAAACUCCUUUUCCUUCUGGCCAUCAUAUAUUAUGAAUUAGCAGCUGAUGAUGAUUGAAGUCAAAUCCCAUGAUUGCUGUUGAGAAAUCUACUGGUAGACGAAGUGCCGUACUUUUUAGAAGAUCUCUGAACCAGUCAGCAUUACUGUGUAAUAAACCUGAAUGUUAAAAUCUAAGAGCUUUCAUUAUUUUCAUAUGUCUGUGAAUUGGCUGAGAGCCAUAGGAUCAAGGGUAAACUUGGCUGGGUAACUGUUUGAAGCUGUAGGUGUGAUUGAGCUUGGCUUUUUUCGUUGUGUGUUGGGCUCGGGUUAGCUCUAUUUGUCUUUAUUUGAAGGCCCAAAUAUUAAUUAUCAAUGCAAUUAUUCUUUAUGAGCCCAGCCUGUAAGUUAAACUUACUAAAGUCAAAUUGCAAGGGAUCUGAGUAAAUCUAAUAGAAUGGAAGAAUGGAAAUUGCACAAGUAGGAGCACAGUGGACAGAACACAAAAAUUUCACAGAAUUUUUUCUUACAAGUAGGAUUCCUUUAGCAGACUCUACAGUUAUUUCUCUCCGUCAAAUCUGUGAAGAGGCUGAUAUGUUUGCUUAAGGACUCUUGGAUAAAUUAAGGAUCAAAUAAAUUCCAUUUCAGUUCAGUUCAGUCGCUCAAUUGUGUCUGAUACUACAUGACCCUGUGAACUGCAGUACACCAGGCUUCCAUGUCUAACACCAACUCCUGGAGUUUACUCAAACUCAUGUCCAUUGCGUCAUGAGCGGUGAUGCCAUCCAACCAUCUCAUCCUGUGUCGUCCCCUUCUCCUCCUG